RNAcentral lists this ribosomal RNA (497 nucleotides) under uncultured bacterium. RNAcentral's name for it is "partial 16S ribosomal RNA". It matches the Rfam family "Bacterial small subunit ribosomal RNA", at positions 28 to 507 of the family's 1533-position model. The record is from RNAcentral.
GAUGAACGCUGGCGGCGUGCCUAAUACAUGCAAGUCGAGCGAACAGACGAGGAGCUUGCUCCUCUGACGUUAGCGGCGGACGGGUGAGUAACACGUGGAUAACCUACCUAUAAGACUGGGAUAACUUCGGGAAACCGGAGCUAAUACCGGAUAAUAUAUUGAACCGCAUGGUUCAAUAGUGAAAGACGGUUUUGCUGUCACUUAUAGAUGGAUCCGCGCCGCAUUAGCUAGUUGGUAAGGUAACGGCUUACCAAGGCAACGAUGCGUAGCCGACCUGAGAGGGUGAUCGGCCACACUGGAACUGAGACACGGUCCAGACUCCUACGGGAGGCAGCAGUAGGGAAUCUUCCGCAAUGGGCGAAGGCCUGACGGAGCAACGCCGCGUGAGUGAUGAAGGCCUUCGGAUCGUAAAACUCUGUUAUUAGGGAAGAACAAAUGUGUAAGUAACUAUGCACGUCUUGACGGUACCUAAUCAGAAAGCCACGGCUAACUACGUG